RNAcentral lists this long non-coding RNA (919 nucleotides) under Callithrix jacchus (white-tufted-ear marmoset). RNAcentral describes it as "lncRNA (ENSCJAG00000076674.1)". The record is from RNAcentral. Lineage: Eukaryota; Metazoa; Chordata; Mammalia; Primates; Cebidae.
AAGAUGCAAAUGUUGGAUAUAUUUGUACAGCAGCUAAAAGUACUCUAAUACUACAUAUUAUGAAAUCACCACGUACCCCAAAAUAUUAACAAAAUUCUUGCAAUAUUUGUAGGAGAACUGCUGGAUUUUGCUUUCUUAACUCUUUUGCUGUUGCUACUGAAAAAAGAGAGUAACUUGGACAAUGAAAUAAUCUCAAAUGAGGUGGCUUUAUUUUUGCAUAUGUUGGAGGUCCUCUGUGAAUCACUGUGUGCAGAGAAUGCUUCUUUGUAAGAAGAUGGAAUAGUUUUUGUGACUGGUUACUGUCCCACUGUCCUUCCACCAGUGGCUUGGUCCCCUGUGAUCUGGGAGCUCAUCCUUGCAGGCAGCUCCAAGUGACAGAGUGGCCUCAGUGUGUGACAACUGAUAUCCAGAUGCUGGCAGUGCUUGGAAGAAGUUGCUGUACAUUCCUUCAAGGAUUAGACAGCACUUGCACAGAUACGUGGGUUAAGGUGGCGCAUGAAGACACCAUUAGAAGGACACUUGGAAAAGGCGACCCAUUUUGCCAAUCUUCAUCAACCUUAUUGUAUUUCAGAUUCUGCAUCCUGGCCAGUGAUCACGGGGCAAGCUGGAGAGAAAUGGAACAGAGGAUAUCUCCCCCAAAAUAAGGCUUUUCUACAGAAAGAGGAGGAGGCUGGAGUACAGUGUUGUGAUCAUGGCUUACUACAACUUCCGCCUCCUGGGUUUAAGCCAUCCUCCCACUUCACCCUCCUGAGUAGCUUGGACUACAGGCAUGCACCACCAUGCUGGGGUAAUUUUUAAUUUUUAAUUUUUUUUUUUUGGUAGAGAUGGGGUUUUGCCAUGUUGCCCAGACUGGUCUUGAACUUCUGGGCUCAAGUGAUCCCCCUGCCUGGGCCUCCUAAAGUGCUGGGAUUACAGGUGU